This 250-nucleotide ribosomal RNA is filed under the name uncultured bacterium. RNAcentral's name for it is "partial 16S ribosomal RNA". It matches the Rfam family "Bacterial small subunit ribosomal RNA", at positions 524 to 773 of the family's 1533-position model. The record is from RNAcentral.
UACGUAGGUGGCGAGCGUUAUCCGGAAUUACUGGGUGUAAAGGGUGAGUAGGCGGGAGAGCAAGUCAGAUGUGAAAUGCAAAGGCUUAACCUUUGAAUUGCGUUUGAAACUGUUUUUCUUGAGAGUCGGAGAGGUAAUCGGAAUUCCUAGUGUAGCGGUGAAAUGCGUAGAUAUUAGGAGGAACACCAGUGGCGAAGGCGGAUUACUGGACGACAACUGACGCUGAUACACGAAAGCGUGGGGAGCAAAC